AGCAGCCGCGGUAAUUCCAGCUCCAAUAGCGUAUAUUAAAGUUGUUGCAAGUUAAAAAGCUCGUAGUUGAACUUCGGGGUUUACCCAUUGGUCAGGCUUAAUUGUCUGUACUGGUGAGAUAAAUCUCUACCUUCUGAGGAACUUUCAUGCCAUUUAGUUGGUGUGAUAGGAAAUCAGGACUGUUACCUUGAAAAAUUAGAGUGUUUAAAGCAGGCUAACGUCUGAAUACAUUAGCAUGGAAUAAUGAAAUAGGACGGAUUGGUUCUAUUUCGUUGGUUUCUAGGAUCACCGUAAUGAUUAAUAGGGAUAGUUGGGGGCAUUAGUAUUCAAUUGUCAGAGGUGAAAUUCUUGGGUUUAUUGAAGACUAACUAUUGCGAAAGCAUUUGCCAAGGAUGUUUUCAUUAAUCAAGAACGAAAGUUAGGGGAUCGAAGACGAUCAGAUACCGUCGUAGUCUUAACCAUAAACUAUGCCGACUAGGGAUCGGACGAGUUAAUUUUAUAAUGACGCGUUCGGCACCUU
This 520-nucleotide ribosomal RNA is filed under the name uncultured Diversispora. RNAcentral describes it as "SSU rRNA". It matches the Rfam family "Eukaryotic small subunit ribosomal RNA", at positions 569 to 1089 of the family's 1831-position model. The record is from RNAcentral. Lineage: Eukaryota; Fungi; Glomeromycota; Glomeromycetes; Diversisporales; Diversisporaceae.